GCCGCGCCUAGGCUGAUCCCCGAAAACCGGGCACCUUCCCCGGCUGGCGCGGCACCUUUUGAAGGG
Rhodanobacter sp. Soil772 is the source of this 66-nucleotide non-coding RNA. The record is from Rfam. NCBI's taxonomy places the organism in Bacteria, Pseudomonadati, Pseudomonadota, Gammaproteobacteria, Lysobacterales, Rhodanobacteraceae.